CCUACGGGAGGCAGCAGUGGGGGAUAUUGCACAAUGGGGGAAACCCUGAUGCAGCGACGCCGCGUGAGUGAAGAAGUAUUUCGGUAUGUAAAGCUCUAUUAGCAGGGAAGAAAAUGACAGUACGUGACCCAGAAGCCCCGGCCAACUACGUGCCAGCAGCCGCGGUAAUACGUAGGGGGCAAGCGUUAUCCGGAUUUACUGGGUGUAAAGGGGGGGUAGACGGGUAUGUAAGUCUGGAGUGAAAGCCCGGGGCCCAACCCCGGGACUGCUGUGGAAACUGUGUGACUGGAGUACAGGAGAGGCAGGCGGAAUGCGUGGUGUAGCGGUGAAAUGCAUAGAUAUCACGAAGAACACCGAUGGCGAAGGCAGCCUACUGGACUGAAACUGACGUUGAAGCUCGAAAGCGUGGGGAGCAAACAGGAUUAGAUACCCGUGUAGUC
Molecule: ribosomal RNA, 440 nt
Filed under: uncultured bacterium
Lineage: Bacteria
Description: partial 16S ribosomal RNA
Rfam family: Bacterial small subunit ribosomal RNA
Source: RNAcentral